This 764-nucleotide unclassified non-coding RNA is filed under the name Hevea brasiliensis (rubber tree). The record is from RNAcentral. Lineage: Eukaryota; Viridiplantae; Streptophyta; Magnoliopsida; Malpighiales; Euphorbiaceae.
AAUCUCUACAGCGAUGUGUCGUCGAUUGAAUCCUAGGGUUCCUCAUCUUCUCCUUUCGUUUUUCUGUAGCUCGAUUCUUCUCAGCUCGCUUCCAGAAUUGAUUACAGCGGCGGUUGUAACACUAGAUUCGAUCGAGAUAUAUAAUACUCAUGAGUUUUUCGGAUCAUCACCGGAAGUUUAUUUUAAGUGUAAAGGUGAAAAUAGAACAAUAUAUUUGCCUGAUGUGAAGAAGAAACAUGAGUUGUAUAUCUUCAAGGGAGAAGAGUCUUGGCAGCCUCUGACAGAACUUGAAGAAAAGAAGUGCAAACGAUGUGGGAUAUAUGAGAAGGACUCAUUUGUAAAGCCUGAUGAUAUAUUUGAUGAAUGGGAGUUCUGUGCAUCUGAUUUUACUAGUGCUGAUGGGAAGUAUAUUCAUUUCAAGGAGAAAGAGUUCAAUGCCACAUUUUUGUGUCCAGACUGUCUCCCUCUUGAAGUAGCUUCUAAUCACACCGAUGUCCCACGGAAUAAGGAAAAGGGAAUGCACUGGGCUCUAGUGUUGCUCAUCUGUGUCUUAGUGACUACUUUUAUAGUUUUUGGAGCAGUAAGUGCCUACAAAUAUUGGCAAAAGAGAAAGAAACAACAAGAGCAAGCUCGAUUCUUGAAGCUGUUCGAGGAGAGCGAUGACAUAGAGGACGAAUUGGGCAUUGGACCACUUAGUCAUGUCAUUUAGGUAGAAAAGAAAUGGUAUACCCUAAAACACUUGUACAUUGCUUUUUGGUUUCAAU